Sesamum indicum (sesame) is the source of this 1213-nucleotide RNA transcript. It is a transcript of the gene named maternal effect embryo arrest 59, with no coding region annotated. Lineage: Eukaryota; Viridiplantae; Streptophyta; Magnoliopsida; Lamiales; Pedaliaceae. The record is from RefSeq and is a predicted model, not a curated record.
UAAGAGUAUGAAUCAAAGUGAUAAACACAAAGUAGUGUGGAGUUAGUUGGAAACUCACAAUCAUUCACAUUUUAAUAAACUUUACUGGUUUUCCGCAUGUCGCCCAUAGUUUUAUAUUUCCCCGGCCCUCAACCAAAUUCGAGAACCCUCCGGACACUGCACCGGUUUAUUCAACCCCACUCUCAAUCGCAUCGUACGCACACAGAAGAAGACUGCCAACCCAAUACCUAUUUCACAAAUUCUGAAAACAUAGUCACAGCUACCGCCGCCAUGACUGCCGGACAGCCGACUGUGAACAAACCCAGCCGUAGCGACGACGUAUUGGAUGCAGCCCAGCAGCUCCAAAUCUACAACCAGGUCCGAGCGCAUUUCGAUUCCGUGGCUCCCAAACGGCCGAUCAAACCCAACCGAAGCGAGCCCGAUUCGGUCUCGUCGUCCAUCUCUAGUCCAGAUGAAGAUAUCCAUGUCCCGGAGCUCGACAAGCUCCGGUCCCUUCAGUAUCAAUCUCAAGCGAUAGUUUCUCAGAGCACUGCCCUGGAGCAAGAGGAGUUUGUGGAGACUCAAUACUACAAGGCGUUGGACUCCAUUGACAAACAGCACCACACAACAGGAACUGGGUUUAUAAAGACCGUGGACGAUCACAAGAGCGGAGAUGGCUAUGAUCUUCAACUGGAUGGCCGCCCUGAGAACGAGGGAAAAUACAAGGAAAUGGUGUGCAAAACUAACCCGGCGACAAAUGACUGGAUACCUAAGUUUGAUGAUUACCAGUGAGCUUGCUGAAAUUAGGUUGAGUAUUCUUCUUCCAAGCCUAAUCGAAGCGAGAAUUGUUGAGUGGCAGCCACACAGUGGAAGAACAUCGACUUCUACAGAUUUGGUUGAUAGGGAAGUGUUUGGUAUAAAAAUUGGUAGGUGAGUGUUGUGAUCAUCCAGCUCUACUGGCUUUGGUGAAAUCUUGCUAGUAGUUUUUUUCGGUGAAAUCUGUUCUGUUCGACAAUGGGUGAGACUUUCGGAUUGUCAAGUUGUUCUGACUUGAUUAUCUCUUUGCCAAGUUUGUUGUGGUCAUGGAAUGAACAUCUUUUAUUAGUGAACUUGAUGCCUAUGUGAUGAGACUUGAAUUUUUUCAGUUCUUUUCUAAGAUAUACUGGUUUGUAGCACAAUUUGUUCCAUGAUUCUUGUCAGUUGCUUGUAUAUUAACAUCCCAAUUGGGACUUGA